RNAcentral lists this ribosomal RNA (426 nucleotides) under uncultured Methylococcaceae bacterium. RNAcentral's name for it is "bacterial SSU rRNA". It matches the Rfam family "Bacterial small subunit ribosomal RNA", at positions 355 to 774 of the family's 1533-position model. Lineage: Bacteria; Pseudomonadati; Pseudomonadota; Gammaproteobacteria; Methylococcales; Methylococcaceae. The record is from RNAcentral.
UGGGGAAUAUUGGACAAUGGGCGCAAGCCUGAUCCAGCAAUACCGCGUGUGUGAAGAAGGCCUUAGGGUUGUAAAGCACUUUCAAUGGGGAGGAAAACCUGCCGGUCAAUACCCGGUAGCUUGACAUUACCUAUAGAAGAAGCACCGGCUAACUCCGUGCCAGCAGCCGCGGUAAUACGGAGGGUGCGAGCGUUAAUCGGAAUUACUGGGCGUAAAGCGUGCGUAGGCGGUUCGUUAAGUCAGAUGUGAAAGCCCUGGGCUCAACCUGGGAACUGCAUUUGAAACUGGCGGACUAGAGUUGAGUAGAGGGGAGUGGAAUUUCAGGUGUAGCGGUGAAAUGCGUAGAUAUCUGAAGGAACACCAGUGGCGAAGGCGACUCCCUGGACUCAAACUGACGCUGAGGUACGAAAGCGUGGGUAGCAAACA